RNAcentral lists this ribosomal RNA (341 nucleotides) under Coleofasciculus chthonoplastes. RNAcentral's name for it is "bacterial SSU rRNA". It matches the Rfam family "Bacterial small subunit ribosomal RNA", at positions 1197 to 1533 of the family's 1533-position model. The record is from RNAcentral. Lineage: Bacteria; Bacillati; Cyanobacteriota; Cyanophyceae; Coleofasciculales; Coleofasciculaceae.
GCCCCUUACGCUCUGGGCGACACACGUACUACAAUGGUCGGGAAAGAGGGCAGCUAACCUGCGAAGGCAAGCUAAUCCCAGAAACUCGGCCUCAGUUCAGAUCGCAGGCUGCAACUCGCCUGCGUGAAGGAGGAAUCGCUAGUAAUCGCCGGUCAGAAUACGGCGGUGAAUCCGUUCCCGGGCCUUGUACACACCGCCCGUCACACCAUGGAAGCUGGCCACGCCCGAAGUCGUUACCCUAACCUUUAGGGGAGGGGGACGCCGAAGGCAGGGUUGGUGACUGGGGUGAAGUCGUAACAAGGUAGCCGUACCGGAAGGUGUGGCUGGAUCACCUCCUUUUU